GACUUGUGGAUAGGGGUGAAAGGCCAAUCAAACACCGUGAUAGCUGGUUCUCCCCGAAAUGCAUUUAGGUGCAGCGUUGAUUUAGUUUUAUAGAGGUAGAGCUACUGAUUGGAUGCGGGGGCUUCACCGCCUACCAAUUCCUGACAAACUCCGAAUGCUAUAAAAUGAUGAUCAGCAGUGAGGGCAUGGGUGCUAAGGUCCAUGU
Molecule: ribosomal RNA, 205 nt
Filed under: uncultured Vannella
Lineage: Eukaryota; Discosea; Flabellinia; Vannellidae
Description: partial Bacterial large subunit ribosomal RNA
Rfam family: Bacterial large subunit ribosomal RNA
Source: RNAcentral